GCUGGGCGUGGUGCCGCAUGCCUGUAAUCCCAGCUACUUGGGAGGCUGAGGCAGGAGAAUCACUUGAACCCGGGAGACAGAGGCUGCAGUGAGCUGAGACCGUGCCACUGCACUCCAGCCUGGGUAACAGAGCGAGACUCCAUCUCAA
This 148-nucleotide non-coding RNA is filed under the name Homo sapiens (human). The record is from Rfam by way of RNAcentral. Lineage: Eukaryota; Metazoa; Chordata; Mammalia; Primates; Hominidae.